This 497-nucleotide ribosomal RNA is filed under the name uncultured bacterium. Its description in RNAcentral is "partial 16S ribosomal RNA". It matches the Rfam family "Bacterial small subunit ribosomal RNA", at positions 28 to 507 of the family's 1533-position model. The record is from RNAcentral.
GACGAACGCUGGCGGCGUGCUUAACACAUGCAAGUCGAACGGUGAAGCGCCUUCCUUUUUGGUGGGUGUGGAUGAGUGGCGAACGGGUGAGUAACACGUUAGUAACCUGCUCCCUUCUUCUGGAUAACCGCAUGACAGUGUUGCUAAUACGGGAUAUUCUGGGUCUGUCGCAUGAUGGGUCUGGGAAAGAUAUUGUUUCGGUUGGGGAUGGGCUCGCGGCGUAUCAGCUUGUUGGUGGGGUGAUGGCCUACCAAGGCGGCGAUGAGUAGCCGGCCUGAGAGGAGGGUGGACGACCACACUGGGACGACGACACGGACAAGACUACGACGGGCGGCAGCAGUGGGGAUUAUGCCACAAGCGGCGGAAGCAUGGAGCAGCGACGCGGCAGGGGGGAUGGUGGCCGGAGCGUUGUAAACCGCUUUCGGCAGUGAAGCAGGGCUGAAUCGUUUGUGCGUGGGUUGACGGUAGCUGGAUAAGAAGCGCCGGCUAACUACGUG